UCUGUUCCUGUGGAGACUCUAGUACAAAACCAGGGGCCUCAGAUCACAAAGAAUAAAAAAAACCAUGAAUCGAUCCUCAAGGGGAUUGUCGGGCAGUCGUCUGUGUGAUGGUAUUCCUCAUCACCGACAAUGCCAUCAGUUUGGAUGACCGCAUCGAUCUUAUCUAUUUCGUCUGAAAAAUAAAAUAUCAUUAUAAAUCUCGACCAGC
Molecule: long non-coding RNA, 208 nt
Filed under: Elaeis guineensis (African oil palm)
Lineage: Eukaryota; Viridiplantae; Streptophyta; Magnoliopsida; Arecales; Arecaceae
Description: long non-coding RNA (EGUI_LNC041727)
Source: RNAcentral